UACGUAGGGUGCGAGCGUUGUCCGGAAUUAUUGGGUGUAAAGAGCUCGUAGGCGGCCUGUCGCGUCGGAUGUGAAAGCCCGGGGCUUAACCCCGGGUCUGCAUUCGAUACGGGCAGGCUAGAGUGUGGUAGGGGAGAUCGGAAUUCCUGGUGUAGCGGUGAAAUGCGCAGAUAUCAGGAGGAACACCGGUGGCGAAGGCGGAUCUCUGGGCCAUUACUGACGCUGAGGAGCGAAAGCGUGGGGAGCGAACAGG
This 253-nucleotide ribosomal RNA is filed under the name uncultured bacterium. RNAcentral's name for it is "partial 16S ribosomal RNA". It matches the Rfam family "Bacterial small subunit ribosomal RNA", at positions 524 to 776 of the family's 1533-position model. The record is from RNAcentral.